CGGCAGAAGUUGUGUUUGGACGUUAACCUUACUACAGAUGUCCUACAAAUCAUAUUAUACCAUAAGUUAGAUUACUUCAUAGGUCACACAUCUAAAUAAUUCAAUGCAUUCAACCCGUGUAAAUUUAUGAGUUGCAAAUACUCAAGAUGGCAAAAUACACACAUUAUCAAAGACAUACCUUGUACAGGACCCAGUGCUUGAUAAAUUCUCAAGAAACAUUUGUUGAAUUAAACUCUCUAUGUUCAUUUCUGUUCUAAAGGAUGGUGUAUAGAAGGCGUUUUGAACUGUAAACUUUGCUUCAGUAGUUUGUUCUCACUUGGAUUCUGGGGACUUCUAUUAUUAAUUAUUAACAGAAAUUCUCUUGAAAUUAUUUGGAGAUUUCUGGUGAAUUAGAUUGCAGGAAUGUACAUGAUAAAAGUGGCAUCUGCCACAAGAAAAUAGCCUUUAACAGCGUCCCUCAAAACCUAUCUUCCCGUACUGGCUUCACCUCAUUCUUGCACCUCCAAAUACUCGAGAAACUCUUUGACAUUUCCCCCUCCC
RNAcentral lists this long non-coding RNA (540 nucleotides) under Bos taurus (domestic cattle). Its description in RNAcentral is "long non-coding RNA NONBTAT024127". Lineage: Eukaryota; Metazoa; Chordata; Mammalia; Artiodactyla; Bovidae. The record is from RNAcentral.